RNAcentral lists this ribosomal RNA (253 nucleotides) under uncultured bacterium. RNAcentral's name for it is "partial 16S ribosomal RNA". It matches the Rfam family "Bacterial small subunit ribosomal RNA", at positions 524 to 776 of the family's 1533-position model. The record is from RNAcentral.
UACGUAGGCGGCAAGCGUUAUCCGGAAUCACUGGGCAUAAAGCGCACGCAGGCGGUGGUGUAAGUCAGCUGUGAAAUCCCCCGGCUCAACCGAGGAACUGCAGCUGAUACUGCAUCGCUAGAGGGUGGGAGGGGAGAACGGAAUUCCUGGUGGAGCGGUGAAAAGCGUAGAUAGCAGGAGGAACGCCGGAGGCGAAAGCGGUUCUCUGGCCCGCUACUGACGCUGAGGUGCGAAAGCUAGGGGAGCAAACAGG